Molecule: ribosomal RNA, 253 nt
Filed under: uncultured bacterium
Lineage: Bacteria
Description: partial 16S ribosomal RNA
Rfam family: Bacterial small subunit ribosomal RNA
Source: RNAcentral
UACAGAGGGUGCGAGCGUUAAUCGGAAUUACUGGGCGUAAAGCGUGCGUAGACGGUUAUUUAAGUCGGAUGUGAAAGCCCCGGGCUCAACCUGGGAAUUGCAUUCGAGACUGAAUAGCUAGGGUGCGGUAGAGGGAAGCGGAAUUUCCGGUGUAGCGGUGAAAUGCGUAGAUAUCGUCAAGAACACCGAUAGUGUAGACAGCUUACUAAGCUUUAACUGACGCUGAGGCACGAAAGUGUGGGGAUCAAACAGG